UACAGAGGUCUCAAGCGUUGUUCGGAUUCAUUGGGCGUAAAGGGUGCGUAGGCGGCGCGGUAAGUCGGGUGUGAAAUCUCGGAGCUUAACUUCGAAACUGCAUUCGAUACUGCCGUGCUUGAGGACUGGAGAGGAGACUGGAAUUUACGGUGUAGCGGUGAAAUGCGUAGAUAUCGUAAGGAAGACCAGUGGCGAAGGCGGGUCUCUGGACAGUUCCUGACGCUGAGGCACGAAGGUCAGGGGAGCGAACGGG
This 253-nucleotide ribosomal RNA is filed under the name uncultured bacterium. RNAcentral's name for it is "partial 16S ribosomal RNA". It matches the Rfam family "Bacterial small subunit ribosomal RNA", at positions 524 to 776 of the family's 1533-position model. The record is from RNAcentral.